Sinocyclocheilus grahami is the source of this 397-nucleotide long non-coding RNA. RefSeq lists it as uncharacterized. Lineage: Eukaryota; Metazoa; Chordata; Actinopteri; Cypriniformes; Cyprinidae. The transcript is spliced from 3 exons. The record is from RefSeq and is a predicted model, not a curated record.
UCCGAUAUCAGUACAGCCGACGAGUUGAUUGGGAUAGCAGUGAAAUCUACUGGAUUCACACUGGUUAAAAGGCCUUAAAGAGGAUUGGGUUUGACUGUUUGGGUUUGACUCCUCAAUCUGACCCUCAGUUAUCUGCUACUGAUCCAGCUGUCUCGUGUCAGUCAAUAACCUACAGCCUGAUUUUCCAUUAGAUGAGACCUCUGACAUUCAGAAGCAAGCAGGAGGACACGAACAAAGACAACAAAAGGAAAAAUGCAGUCCGUGGAUGAUAUGGCGCUCGGAUUGAAGCCAGACGCAGAGUCGAGAGAGACCCGCAAGGCUGGCAGCUGUUGAUGAGUGCGGCUUAUGGUCAUUUCCAAUUCAUCUCUAUACCGAAAGGUUCAGAUGUUCUCUUCAC